This 451-nucleotide ribosomal RNA is filed under the name uncultured bacterium. Its description in RNAcentral is "bacterial SSU rRNA". It matches the Rfam family "Bacterial small subunit ribosomal RNA", at positions 328 to 793 of the family's 1533-position model. The record is from RNAcentral.
AGCCCAGACUCCUACGGGAGGCAGCAGUGGGGAAUAUUGGGCAAUGGGCGCAAGCCUGACCCAGCAACGCCGCGUGAAGGAAGAAGGCUUUCGGGUUGUAAACUUCUUUUCUGAGGGACGAAGAAAGUGACGGUACCUCAGGAAUAAGCCACGGCUAACUACGUGCCAGCAGCCGCGGUAAUACGUAGGGGGCGAGCGUUAUCCGGAAUUACUGGGUGUAAAGGGAGCGUAGACGGCGAGGUAAGCCUGAAGUGGAAGCCCGCGGCCCAACCGCGGAACUGCUUUGGGAACUGUUUUGCUGGAGUACCGGAGAGGUAAGCGGAAUUCCUAGUGUAGCGGUGAAAUGCGUAGAUAUUAGGAGGAACACCAGUGGCGAAGGCGGCUUACUGGACGGUAACUGACGUUGAGGCUCGAAAGCGUGGGGAGCAAACAGGAUUAGAUACCCGAGUAC